AGUUGUAGAAUCACUGGUGAAUAAGGGGUGGGCAAGUUCUGGUGUCAGCCGCCGCGGUAAAACCAGCACCUCGAGUGGUCAGGAGGUUUAUUGGGCCUAAAGCAUCCGUAGCCGGUUGCAUAAGUUUUCGGUUAAAUCUAUGCGCUUAACGUAUAGGCCGCCGAAAAUACUGUGCAGCUAGGGAGUGGGAGAGGUACACGGUACUCGAUAGGAAGGGGUAAAAUCCUUUGAUCUAUUGAUGACCACCUGUGGCGAAGGCGGUGUACCAGAACACGUUCGACGGUGAGGGAUGAAAGCUGGGGGAGCAAACCGGAUUAGAUACCCGGGUAGUCCCAGCUGUAAACGAUGCAGACUCGGUGAUGCAUUGGCUUGUGGCCAAUGCAGUGCCGCAGGGAAGCCGUUAAGUCUGCCGCCUGGGAAGUACGUACGCAAGUAUGAAACUUAAAGGAAUUGGCGGGGGAGCACCACAAGGGGUGAAGCCUGCGGUUCAAUUGGAGUCAACGCCAGAAAUCUUACCUGGGGAGACAGCAGAAUGAAGGUCAAGCUGAAGACUUUACCAGACACGCUGAGAGGUGGUGCAUGGCCGUCGCCAGCUCGUGCCGUGAGAUGUCCUGUUAAGUCAGGUAACGAGCGAGACCCCUGCGUCUAGUUGCUACCAUUACUCUCUGGAGCAGUGGAGCGAAUUAGACGGACCGCCACAGUUAAUGUGGAGGAAGGAAGGGGCCACGGCAGGUCAGUAUGCCCCGAAACCCUAGGGCUACACGCGGGCUGCAAUGGUAUUGACAAUGUGUUCCGAAUCCGAAAGGAGGAGGCAAUCAUCAAACAUAUCUCAGUUAUGACUGAGGGC
This 847-nucleotide ribosomal RNA is filed under the name uncultured archaeon. Its description in RNAcentral is "bacterial SSU rRNA". It matches the Rfam family "Archaeal small subunit ribosomal RNA", at positions 415 to 1261 of the family's 1478-position model. The record is from RNAcentral.